GACAGAGGUGCCGAGCGUUAGGCGGAAUCACUGGGCUUAAAGCGUGUGUAGGCGGACUUGUAAGUACCUUGUGAAAUCCCACAGCUCAACUGUGGAACUGCUUGGUAUACUGCUUGUCUUGAGCCACUUAGGGGCAGUCGGAACAGACGGUGGAGCGGUGAAAUGCGUUGAGAUCGGAAGGAACGCCCGUGGCGAAAGCUAGGUCCUGGACGUCUUCUGACGCUGAGACGCGAAAGCCAGGGGAGCGAACGGG
RNAcentral lists this ribosomal RNA (253 nucleotides) under uncultured prokaryote. RNAcentral's name for it is "partial 16S ribosomal RNA". It matches the Rfam family "Bacterial small subunit ribosomal RNA", at positions 524 to 776 of the family's 1533-position model. The record is from RNAcentral.